CCUAUAGGAAAUCACUCCCACCCCACACCCUUCCGCCCAUGGGGGGGGGGGCGAUGCGGAUUGGGGCCCCCCCAACAUCGCUCUGACCCCCCCCCAAUGUCACCCCGAUCCAUCAGCAGAGAGAGAUGGGGGGUCCCAAUGCCCCCCCCCAAUAGUGGGGACCCCCAUCCUAAAGGAGACCCCAUUGCACGCUCCCAAAGUGGGGGGGGCCAUCCUAUGGGACACCCCAAAAAGUGGGGGGGCUUCACCCUAUAGGACACCCCCAAAACAUGGGGACCCCCAUCCUAUAGGACACCCCCAAAACAUGGGGACCCCCAUCCUAUAGGACACCCCAUUGUGACCCCAAAGGGACACCCCAAUGCACCCCCAUAAAUGAGGACCCCCCACCUAUGGGAUACCCUAUUGUGACCCCAAAGUGCAGGGACCCCCAUCCUAUGGGACACCCCCAAUGCACCCCCAAUUAUGGGCACCUCCACCCUAUGGGACACCCCAUUAUGACCCCAAAAAUCGCCCCUAUCC
RNAcentral lists this long non-coding RNA (519 nucleotides) under Coturnix japonica (Japanese quail). Its description in RNAcentral is "lncRNA (ENSCJPG00005017863.1)". The record is from RNAcentral. Lineage: Eukaryota; Metazoa; Chordata; Aves; Galliformes; Phasianidae.